UACGGAGGGGGCGAGCGUUGUCCGAAGUUACUGGGCGUAAAGCGCGCGUAGGCGGCUUUGCAAGUCGGGUGUGAAAUCCCCAGGCUUAACCUGGGAACUGCAUUCGAGACUGCAUUGCUAGAGUAUGGGAGAGGGAAGUGGAAUUUCCGGUGUAGCGGUGAAAUGCGUAGAUAUCGGAAGGAACAUCAGUGGCGAAAGCGACUUCCUGGACCAAUACUGACGCUCAUGUGCGAAAGCGUGGGGAGCAAACAGG
RNAcentral lists this ribosomal RNA (253 nucleotides) under uncultured bacterium. RNAcentral's name for it is "partial 16S ribosomal RNA". It matches the Rfam family "Bacterial small subunit ribosomal RNA", at positions 524 to 776 of the family's 1533-position model. The record is from RNAcentral.